AAGACCCUCUCUAACCCUCAGGUGGGGGAAUACCUGAGCACACCAUGUUCCAGAGAAAUCAGUGCAUGCAAAUGGCAAGGGACUUACUUUAAUCUCUGGAAUUCAGCAAAGGCUUCAUCAUAUGCUUUAAGAGAAAAAAAGAGAAGUUAGAAUGUUCUCACUCAGAACUGAGGACACAACAGGAGUGGAUUAAAAUUCACAGCCUGAGGUCGGUGUGAUCAGUCCAGACAUGACUAAGCUGACUUUGAAUAAGGCUAUGCCUCCUUUACUCUGCAACUUGAUGGAUUUCACAGGGGAAGCAAAUACUUUCUAGGGAGAAAAGAUGAAGUAGUGGAUUUUAGAAGCUCCCAAUUCGGUUGCAAGACCAUCCUUUCAAACAGAAAGGCAAAGAUUCACUCUGCCAAAGAUAAAAUGGUAAUAAAGGUGGCUAAACAUCCUGAGCAUCAAAAAGGCUUUUCUGUUAUUAAAUAAAUCAUCCCCCAUGUACGUCACAGCUUCCUAGCUGGACAGUUAAGUGUUUCCAUGUUGCAUAGUCUGGCCCGUCUAUCUGUGUGAAAGGGCACAGGAACUAUGACACUCACAGUGUGUGCCAGCGUGGGCCCGAAGCAAUGCUUCUGAGCUGGCCAGGAGCCGAGAUAAAAGACAGCAGAUGAGGAAAUGAGACACUGUUCUAAAAUCUCUUCUACCCCCUGAGCCUGCAGAGCAAGCCGCUUGGAAUGCUUCAGAUUCUAUUUUUAGGCUUCCGUGGUUGUUCAGAAUCUGGGCAAGGGGCUGAUUCUCCUGAGGAAAGCCAUCAGAACAGGACACCGGGGCUCACAUCCCAAAAGGCUAGUACAACAGACACCUUUCUGGGAGACUGAUGUUUCUGUAAUUUUCAUCAGACUUAGAAGAGACGGGGGCGCUUGGGUUCUGGCUUUGCUAGUGCCAAAUGCCAGAUCCAUGCUUCUACUUGGAGCCACUGUCUGCUGUCAUGACCUUUACACUCUGACCUCAUCCAGCAGUUCCCUGUCCAAAACAUUUUGGUGACUCACUCAGCUGAACACACCAUGUGCCAAGAUGCAAGCUUUCAAAAUCUUGUGCCCAGGAAAAGGAAAACAUUACAUGGAAUAGAUGACCUUGACCAGAAAUGAUUACUAAAAUCUCUGAAAUUUAGUUUUUUAAAUACAAAUAAAGUUUUAUUAUCCCAAGUCACAAAUUUUGUCAAAAACGUGUUUUUAGAUUCCCAUUUUACCUUCCAGAUUACAUUAGCUUCAAUUAGCAGAACAAUGCAAAAAAUAGGCAGCAUGCAGAUGUGUUUUGGCUCAUUCAUGAUUAUAUCCCUAGCAUCUUGUACAUGCAUGGUAUAUAGCAGGCAAUUAAUAAAUAUCUGCUGAAUUCACAUGUGAAUAAAAAUACUUCCAAAGCAUUUGAAGUCCAUUUGUUGUUAAUAAACUGAAAUUGCCCUACUGAACUGUGCUUAUUUUAUCAUACUGCUUAGGCAACUUCUUUUCAAUGUAAAGACAAAUCUUAGCUCUGGCAUACAAGCACAAGUUCUAUAAUGGAUUGGAAUUAAUAAAGUUCUCCUAUAACUUGUCACAGAAUGAAGGCUCAUGUCUGGGAUCAACUCUGUGCUGCAAUUCAUGCCCUAGAGCUUCCCCUGAAGGAAGCCAGUCUCCAACUGAGACCACAUUCUUGCUUAGCUGUCAUCUACCUUAGCUUGUUUCCCUAAUCCCCACUCCUGAGAGUACUCUCCCAUAAAUCAAUUGGAAGAGAAACUUAUUUCAGACUGUCCUUCUAAGGAACUUAGCCUAAGACUGUAAUUUCCACCCAAUGAAAUAGUAUAAGAACUAAUUUCGAUGACAAUGGGCAGGUCUCCACGUUCAGGGUACGUAUGUGUAUGUGGGCAACAACAUGAAAGCGUGUGCGAACACAUGAAGGGGAGUGUGUCUAUGUGCACGUGUGCAUGAGUGGUCAGAGGGUGAUGCCAACGCUGCUUUUCCUUCCCCUCCAUUGGUCAGGUGAUGAGCACACAGUCAAUGAGAAUAUUCUGAAAACAGGGAGAAGAUGGGCCACAGUGGACUCUGCGUGACCUAUUCGGGUUCUACACACAGUUGCUAAAUGAGUUGAAAAGAAAUACAUUACAUAUUUUUUGCUAUUUAUGUGAUUCAUUCUCCCCUUCACUAACGAAUUCUGAAAUGUUUUAAAAACAUAUCUUGAUGAAAGGAGAACAGGUUGUUAAUAUUGGCCACAAGUCACACUUCUCUCCCAUCUUCUGAGUCUCUCAUUCAUACCCGUGGCACAGGUAAGAGCCAGAGCUCCUAAACCCAAAUUCUUCAGUACCACUGAGUGCUGGCCUGAUCCUGGCUCUACUGAUAUCUAGGGAGGACAAAUAAAGUGCAGAUGUUGUAACUCUGUCUAUGGAAACUAUGUGUUGAAAGCAAAGCAAAGAGUAGAUAUACACAACUACCUAUGUAAAUAAGAUAUCAAUAGACAUACACACACAGAAGUGUAGAAUCAGACCAAGAAGUAUAAACCGAUAUGUGUAUUACAAAACUGUAAGAAUUUGUGAUUCUUCUGAGUCUUUAAAGUUUUUCUUACAAUAAAAAUGUAUUGCAUUUUAACCAGAAGACCAAUGAAAGAUAUUUUUACUGUAAUUUUUUCUGAGCCAUCAGAAUAAUAAAAGCCAUUUCUUCCCCUGUGAAGAACCAAGUUCCUGUUGGGGUUUCUGAUGGGAGUAUGUGAGUUUAGUUAAGCGUUCUUGCUCCUCUGACUUCUCAGGAGAGCAGCUCCAUUUGCACGGGUAACAAUACUUCUUGGUUUGCCUGGGACAGUUUUGGUUCGAUUGUUGUCCUGGAAAAAUUAUUACUAGAACCCUCUUUCAUUCUCAGAAGUGUCCCAGUUUGGAUAAUAUGAUAUAGUCAAUCUGUAUUUUCCUCUCCUUUUUUUUUUUCACGUAUGAAAUGACUUAAACCCCACCACUCCAUGCUCAGUGGUUUUCAUGACAACUUACCCGCAUCUUAAUAGGGCUUCCUCAGUACAUUCUACAGUGAUAAGUUUAGAAUCUAAAAAGCAUAAAACAUACCGGCCCUU
This is a long non-coding RNA of Acinonyx jubatus (cheetah), 3069 nucleotides long. RefSeq lists it as uncharacterized. NCBI's taxonomy places the organism in Eukaryota, Metazoa, Chordata, Mammalia, Carnivora, Felidae. The record is from RefSeq and is a predicted model, not a curated record. The transcript has 4 exons.